This 699-nucleotide ribosomal RNA is filed under the name uncultured bacterium. RNAcentral describes it as "bacterial SSU rRNA". It matches the Rfam family "Bacterial small subunit ribosomal RNA", at positions 635 to 1325 of the family's 1533-position model. The record is from RNAcentral.
GAUAGGCUCGAGGGACGUAGAGGAGGCGGAACUCUCGGAGUAGCGGUGGAAUGCGUAGAUACCGAGAGGUACCCCGAUGGUGAAGACAGCCUCCAGGGCGUCACCUGACACUGAAGCGCUAAGGCCAGGGGAGCAAAGGGGAUUAGAUACCCCCGUAGUCCUGGCUUCAAACGAUGUGGGCUUGGUGUCGGCUCCCGAAGAGAGUCGUUGCCGGAGCUAACGUGUUAAGCCCACCGCCUGGGGAUUACGUCCGCAAGGAUGAAACUCAAGGGAAUUGACGGGGGCCCACACAACCGGUGGAGCACGUGGUUUAAUUCGAUGAUAAGCGAAGAACCUUACCAGGACUUGACAUGUCGGUAGUAGGACCCUGAAAAGGGAACGAACCAAAGCUUUGCUUUGGUAGCCGUCACAGGUAUUGCAUGGCUGUCGUCAGCUCGUGUCGUGGGACGUUGGGUUAAGUCUCGUAACGAGCGCAACCCCUGCCCUUAAUUGCCAGCGCAUUUGGCGGGUACUAUAAGGGGACUGCCGGAGAAUAUCCGGAGGAAGGAGGGGACGACGUCAAGUCAUUAUGAUCCUUAUGUUCUGGGCGACACACGUGCUACAAUGGGCACUACAGUGGGGAGCCAAUCCGCAAGGAUGAGCAAAUCCCAAAAAGGUGCCCCCAGUGCGGAUUGGGGUCUGCAACCCGACCCCAUGAAG